GAGGCCAUCUUCAACCGAUCGG
This 22-nucleotide microRNA is filed under the name Ornithorhynchus anatinus (platypus). RNAcentral describes it as "oan-miR-1332-5p". Lineage: Eukaryota; Metazoa; Chordata; Mammalia; Monotremata; Ornithorhynchidae. The record is from miRBase by way of RNAcentral.